RNAcentral lists this ribosomal RNA (567 nucleotides) under Triticum aestivum (bread wheat). RNAcentral describes it as "partial small subunit ribosomal RNA". The record is from RNAcentral. Lineage: Eukaryota; Viridiplantae; Streptophyta; Magnoliopsida; Poales; Poaceae.
AUGAAAUGCAAGAUGAACAGGAAGCCAGGAGACUGGGACUGCAGGUCCUGCCAGCACCUCAACUUCAGUCGCCGGGACCUAUGCCAGCGCUGCGGCGAGCCACGCAGUGCCGCUGACCGUGGCAGCGUCGGUGGCGCUCUUGGUGGUGACUACGCCAACUUUGGCGGCCGUGGCGUGGGUGGUUCCUCCUUUGGUACCGGCUUUGGUGCCGGCUCUGACGUCCGCCCGGGCGACUGGUACUGCACCUGCGGGGCGCACAACUUCGCCAGCCGCUCCAGCUGCUUCAAGUGUGCUGCCUUCAAGGAGGAAGCUGCCGUCAAUGGUGGCGCUGGUGGCUUUGAUGGUGACAUGUCACGCUCAAGGGGCUUCGGCUUCGGCGCUGUCGGUGGCAUGGGAGCCGGCGCGGCCGGUGGUCGUGCCAGCCGCCCUGGCUGGAAGUCUGGCGACUGGAUUUGCACCAGGUCUGGAUGCAACGAGCACAACUUCGCCAGCAGGCAGGAGUGCUUCAGGUGCAACGCACCGAGGGACUCCGGUAGCGCCACGCCAUACGAAAAUUUCUUGCACUGA